Molecule: long non-coding RNA, 2014 nt
Organism: Pezoporus flaviventris
Lineage: Eukaryota; Metazoa; Chordata; Aves; Psittaciformes; Psittacidae
Exons: 2
Source: RefSeq, a predicted model, not a curated record
UGCCUGGGCAUGGAAGAGGGCUGUGGGAGGACACACCUGCCCAUCCCUCUGAGCUGUGUUUGGUGCUAAGCCGCAUGGAGCUGUCAUUUGGUUAAUGCUGUGCACUCACAAAUACUGCUGCUCUCUGUGCUGGAUUUAAUUUUGGGAGGAUUGAAAGGAAGUACCUUGGGAAGGAUUGUACGAGAAGAAGACAUAUAAACCUUUUUUCAUGACUCAACUUUGUUAUUUUCACAAAUGCAGAACACAUUUGGUCUGGCAUCCCAUUUGAUUUGUUUACUGCUUUUGUGUCCCACAUUUGCACAGGCUUUCCAAACAGAGAUACUUCUCUCAUCUGGCCUGUCUCUGUCUUCUGCACAGAAACCUCAGUAUAGCAUUUUCAUCCUCCUGGCUUUUGGACACACAGCGCCAGCUGUGAAUACUGGAUAUGUCUCUGAAGCAAAAGGGGUCAGUGGGAAUAUGAGGAUCUCCUGUGUUCCCACUACAUUGUAUCAGUCUUCAAAGCUGUGUUGUGCCACAUAACAACAGUUUGACCUCACUGUACCACAUCAUUUGAGGCCUGGAUGGAGUGUUUCCCAACUCUUCCCAGUUCCACAAAUCCCCUUUGCAGCAGAGGAGCUGUCAAGGUGUUGAGUUGCCCCUUUCUCCUCCAGCAGUGCUACAUCAGUGCUCAGGACAGUGAAGCUCCACAAGGCAUGGAAGAAAGAACAGCACAUUGGAUAAAGCCAGUCUGGGAUGCACUUGGGAUGUACCUAGAUGCUUUGGUGGUUGUUAUUACAGAAAAUCCAGACCUGUCUUCGCCUUUGUGCUAAAACUGGAGAUUCACACUGAGUGCUUUAUUCUGUGGCUUCACCAGAGUAUAUUCUUGUUCAAGCAUGGCACUGUGCUUAUUCUUCACUUCCAGUUUCACAGGAUCUUAUAAUCAACUAGGUUGGAAAAGACCUUUAAGAUCAUCAAAUCUAACAAUUACCCCAGAACUGCCAAGUCCACCACCAAACCAUGUCACUGAGGUUUCAAGACUGUAUUUGUAUUUGAAGCCAAUGGCAUUGUUUCAUGGAAAUACAGAAGUCCUUACCAACUAAGAAUAAGGCAGUCAUCAAAAAAAACUUCCACUCUGGUCAUAUUUCAAGAGAUUCAGUAGAGCCUAGGACAGCCUGACAGCACUGCAUCUCCUUGUUGAAGGCCCUGUAGCACAUAGAAAUACAAAAUUUAAGUGUUCAGAUUUUUGAGGUGAAAUUCUAUCCAAAUCAUUACAGUGCACAGAAAUGUGCAACCUCAACAGAAAGAGUUUCUCCAUCUGAAAUAAAAUAUUAGUGCUGCUGUUGAUGUAGCCAGUUUCCCCAAGCAAGCACCAUCAUCAGAUGGUCCUAAUUGAGUUCUGACACUCAGUCUAAUCAAUGUGUAUUAAAGAAAGAGCAAAAGAACUAGUUUUGGGAAAAUUACAUAUUUAAAAGAUUUGGUGUCAGCCACAGUGAUUUUACAUUAAGUGAAAGCUGCUGUUAGGAAAAAUAAAUGAGAAAAUCUCAAAUCUACUCAGCUCCAUUCGCUGCACAUUUUAAGAAGAGAAACCUUGUUGAUCAUAAAUACAUUAUUGUUUGUUAAAUGAGAGACCUGUAUAUUCCCUGGAUAUGUUAUUUUUAAUAAACCUUGCUUCUUAUACACAUAAACCUCAGGGAACAUUCAAAUUACUAUUUUACCUCUACAAAAUGUUCAUUUUCUGUUUUCCCCCAUCAAGAAUAACUUUGAAAAACUGUGUAGUACUUCAGACUUCUAUAAGCAGGUGAGGUUUUACUUGUAGAACCAAUGGCCAAAUGAUGGUUGGGUGGUCUAAAGUUUACUCAGCACCCACAUAUUAUAUGGUUUCCAGAACUUCUGUGGUUGAAUUUGAAUAUUUAACUUUUUUUCAUUCUGUGCAUUAAAUUGUUAUUUCAAAUUAUUGAGGCAGUAAUGGAAAACUGUUAGCUUCAGCAUGAUAUAAUAAUAUAAUGAAAGCCUGAAUUAUUUCUCUGACAUUUAA